This 699-nucleotide ribosomal RNA is filed under the name uncultured bacterium. RNAcentral describes it as "bacterial SSU rRNA". It matches the Rfam family "Bacterial small subunit ribosomal RNA", at positions 792 to 1491 of the family's 1533-position model. The record is from RNAcentral.
AGUCCACGCCGUAAACGAUGUCGACUUGGAGGUUGUGCCCUUGAGGCGUGGCUUCCGGAGCUAACGCGUUAAGUCGACCGCCUGGGGAGUACGGCCGCAAGGUUAAAACUCAAAUGAAUUGACGGGGGCCCGCACAAGCGGUGGAGCAUGUGGUUUAAUUCGAUGCAACGCGAAGAACCUUACCUACUCUUGACGUCCAGAGAACUUAGCAGAGAUGCUUUGGUGCCUUCGGGAACUCUGAGACAGGUGCUGCAUGGCUGUCGUCAGCUCGUGUUGUGAAAUGUUGGGUUAAGUCCCGCAACGAGCGCAACCCUUAUCCUUUGUUGCCAGCGGUUAGGCCGGGAACUCAAAGGAGACUGCCAGUGAUAAACUGGAGGAAGGUGGGGAUGACGUCAAGUCAUCAUGGCCCUUACGAGUAGGGCUACACACGUGCUACAAUGGCAUAUACAAAGAGAAGCGACCUCGCGAGAGCAAGCGGACCUCAUAAAGUAUGUCGUAGUCCGGAUUGGAGUCUGCAACUCGACUCCAUGAAGUCGGAAUCGCUAGUAAUCGUGGAUCAGAAUGCCACGGUGAAUACGUUCCCGGGCCUUGUACACACCGCCCGUCACACCAUGGGAGUGGGUUGCAAAAGAAGUAGGUAGCUUAACCUUCGGGAGGGCGCUUACCACUUUGUGAUUCAUGACUGGGGUGAAGUCGUAA